AAGAGAUAUAAUAGAUGCCCCCCAUAGGGGGACUCACAGAGAUUAGCAUCUCUCAGCCCUAGGAUGGUGCCUGGCAAAGAAUCUCGACCGUGCAUUUGCAGUCACCGCGCGGUAUAAAAUAGAGCAUCCAGCCCACAGUGAAACCCUAGCCGCCAAUCCUCGCGCGACCCUCUCUCCCCAAUCCCAGCGUGUCCUCCUUUCCCCAAUCCCGUUCGUCCUCUGGCUCUUCUCCACAAGCCAAUCGCCCAGCCCAAUCCACUCCCGCACCCCGCCUCUCAUCGCGCCGCCUCUCCUCCUCCUCAAGCUCGCCGCCCUUGCGCCGCCUCUCCUCUGCUGUACCCGGCCAGGAGCCUCUCCUCAAGCUGCUGCAAGCGGUAGGAGGACCACAUCCAUCAACCUCUGAGGAUUCUUCAUCCCUGAAGACGCCGGCCAGCAGCACAUCGGCAUGGCCCUCCGCCUCUACUUUGUCAGGGAGGAGCACGGAGUGUGCAAUCUCCUCAAGGUGAACUGCUCCUCGCCCUCCUCGAGGUUGAGGUAAAAGUGGUUCCAAACUCCCCCUCUUUGAUUUAACCCCUGGAACAUCUCAUGUUUGUUUGUACAGAUCUGUUUUAUCUUUGCAUAGAAGGUGUUUGAUGAAAAUCGUAGAUAAGGUUAGUGUAUAUUUAUGCUCCAUAAAGCUGUUUGCAAACCAUAAUGCUAAUACUCCUAACAAUGAUUUUAGAAGUCAUCUCAUAACCAUAAAGCCAAUAUUGUUAAGAAUGAAGUUACUGAGAUAUUCCCUUCAGCCUCCUCUUCUUUGCUAUGCUCUAUAAAGAGAACCACAUAAGGAAAAGGCAGGGGAAAGGUGCAAUGAGCUUUUGCUGCAUUGUGACAAAGAGAUUGGCUAUUAUUCUAAACUGUCUUUUUUUGAUGUGUCGUCUUAUUUGCAAAAAAAAGGAAGUGCAGAAACUGACAUUUAUACCAAUUGCAAAUGGUACUCGCGUAAUAGCAGUGAAAUCACAUUUUCCUUGUCUAACUAUCAACAUGUCACCUUUUGCUUUUGAACUUCCAAGUCUGUAUCUUCCAUCUAUCUCAAUUCUUAGAGAAAUUAGAAUGUAGGAAAGUCUUAGAAACCCUUACGCAAAGGGGAUUUUGCUAGAUAUCCAAAAAUCAUGUGGUUAGCAGCAAUUAAAGGAGAUAGAGAUUUAUACUUUUAUCCCUUUUCAUUAACAAUAAACGUGUUGCUCUUUUUGUUGGUUCAGCUAGGCAUGAAGCACAAGAAUGUUUAAGCAAAAAAAAAAAAGUGUGCCUAAGAGUAGAUUAUGUUGUUCCUCUUUUGAUGUCUGCCCGUCAAAGAUUAUGUUGUUUUCAUAAAACUUCCAGAGCUGACCAUAGCGUCUCCAGCAAGAUGGACCUGCAUACAUUUGAUGAUUUUCCUUUGCAGAUAAUUGGUGUUGGAGUAAAGCACGCGUUUCCAAUCGAUGCUCCUGUUAUUGGUAAAUUGUAUCAUGUAUAUUUAUGUGAAGAUAUUACAGUGUCACUUCCAACUUUGUCCUCAUGAAUUGCCUAGGAGGAGGUAUGAUUCAAAUGCUUCGUACAUCUCAGUUAUGUCGGUCAAUUUGGCCAUGUUUCUCAGCAUUUCACCUUUCCCCUUAUUGAUUUUCCUGCCAUAUGGUCUUCCAUGUUGCUAUAAGAAGUAUAUUCCAGGUUACUAUGCUUGGUCUCUGCUAGGUAGCCCCAGUUCAUACAAGUUAAUUAUUGCUACUAACAUUUCAUCAUAGAUUUAUUGUAUAUCACGUUAUUUUGAGUGAAUGAUCCGUAGAUGGACUUUCUAUGUAAAUGGCCAGACCCACCACGAAUGGAUUACGGAUAUUGGAGGAUAAUUAUAAUCAUCAUCGACGUAGCAGUAGGUCAAAAAUGGUCAGGUUCAUGCUCGUGUCUGAUUAUUGGUAGUGGAACCGCGGUGUUGGUGCUUUUCUAGACAGUUCAGUGUACUGGUUUUCUCUUCCGUUUUGCCGUCCUCUUGGAUGCGGGUAAUAAAUCAAUCCUCUUUCUUUUAUUUCAUCUAUUAGGCAUCACAUACAGUUUCUUAGAAUGUUAGCCUAUGUGCAGGGAAGCCUUAGAUAUCUUUGUAUUUCAGGAUUAACUUUAGGUAUCCAUCUCCAGGAUUUCAGUGUGCACAUAUUUCUGUAUGCUAUGCACCUUGAGCCACGUAAACUGUUAGUGAAAAGAGUUCGAGUUUGCAGUUUUGUGUAUUAAAUUGCUUCUGCUAGAUCCCCACGAUGUGUCUCCCAUGGGGUUUAUACCGCUCCCUUGAUGUUGCAAACGUAAAAUAAACUAAAUGAAGAUGGUAAGUGACCAGGUAUGAUUAUAUGGCUUUAACUCUGUGAGCGGUGCUUUAUUUAUAAUGAGUAAAUAAUAUUAUUUGCUAUAUAGCAUUUCUGCCUACUAUCUAAAACUGAGCCCUCUUUUGUAGCGAAUAAUUUUUAUGGUGUCCAUCCGCUGGCAUGCUACGCCUCGCAGUGUAGCCUUAUCGCUGAUUUAGACCCAGCUGUCGCAUCGCCAUUUUUGAUGUCGUCACCGCACAGGGUUCAUUUCUCUCUCACUCGCGGUUUUCAGCGGUGCCUCGCAAGAUAAAAGACUGUUGUAUAAAAAUCUUCAGGUCCUAAAUUAGUUUUGCGGUUUAUUUUUGUCUCUUAUAAGUACUAGACACAUGCUAUUUUAAGUUCUCUUGGUGUAUAUUGAGGUAUUUAUCAUGCUUUUAUAUGGUUAACGACACAUAGUCUUUUCAUCAACUAGGGUGGUUCAGUUUGUUACCCGUUUUUUCGUGAGAGGACGUUGUCGAUUACUCGAUUUCUUACUGCUAUAUUCAGGAAGAGUAUAUAGGUCAGUAAGUUCCGCUGCAAAUUAAGGUAGUAACUUCAUGUUAAUAUUACCGUGUUUUUGGUUAAACUGCUUUUUUGAGAAUUCCUCUAUGAUAAAUUAUAUUAAUUUAGCAAACAAAAUGAAAAUAUACACAUGCCAUGAUGGUUCUAUUGUCUGCCUCACCACUUGCCCUCCUGUAUAUUGAUUUUCUCAUGCACAUUCUUUUGCUCUGUAUUUUUCUUUUGUUGCCAAUUUUUUUUGUAUUAUUUUGUUUGUGAAAGACCAGCCUCGUGUCUUUAGGUUCAACCUUUAUCUGAGACUCAUGGACAUGUUCUUGAAGUUGCUUUGAUCAGGGAUAGGAAAAUGGUGAACAACAAGGUGAGCCAAAAGUAUUUUGACUUAUGAUACCAACAUACCACUUCUGUUCUGUUUACCUCUCCGGGUUAGUAAAAGACAAGAAAGGGCUCAACAUACUGUUGGUGGGUCGCUGUAACCUAACUAGACUCCACCCUGCCGCUAGAUAAGGCAACAUAUUUGGACAAAAAAUUGUUCAGGUCAUAGCAAUUAUAUGCAUGUUCAAUGCAUCAGUAUAUACUAUGUUUGUUCUGUGGUCAGA
Molecule: non-coding RNA, 3460 nt
Organism: Lolium perenne
Lineage: Eukaryota; Viridiplantae; Streptophyta; Magnoliopsida; Poales; Poaceae
Source: RefSeq, a predicted model, not a curated record